Molecule: ribosomal RNA, 372 nt
Filed under: uncultured organism
Description: partial 16S ribosomal RNA
Rfam family: Bacterial small subunit ribosomal RNA
Source: RNAcentral
GUAGGUGGCAAGCGUUGUCCGGAAUUAUUGGGCGUAAAGCGCGCGCAGGCGGUUCUUUAAGUCUGAUGUGAAAGCCCACGGCUCAACCGUGGAGGGUCAUUGGAAACUGGAGAACUUGAGUACAGAAGAGGAAAGCGGAAUUCCACGUGUAGCGGUGAAAUGCGUAGAGAUGUGGAGGAACACCAGUGGCGAAGGCGGCUUUCUGGUCUGUAACUGACGCUGAGGCGCGGAAGCGUGGGGAGCAAACAGGGAUUAGAUACCCUGGUAGUCCACGCCGUAAACGAUGAGUGCUAAGUGUUAGGGGGUUUCCGCCCCCUUAGUGCUGCAGCUAACGCAUUAAGCACUCCGCCUGGGGAUACGGCCGCAAGGCUG